CCUACGGGCGGCAGCAGUGAGGAAUAUUGGUCAAUGGCCGGAAGGCUGAACCAGCCAUGCCGCGUGAAGGUCAGUGCCCUAUGGGCGUUAAACUUCUUUUGUGCGGGAGCAAUAAUGGUCACGUGUGGCCAGACGAGAGUACCGUACGCAUAAGCAUCGGCUAACUCCGUGCCAGCAGCCGCGGUAAUACGGGGGAUGCAAGCGUUAUCCGGAUUUAUUGGGGUUAAAGGGUGCGUAGGCUGUGAGGUAAGUCAGCGGUGAAAUGCCCCCGCUCAACGGGGUGAAGUGCCAUUGAUACUGCCUUGCUGGAAUGCGGAUGCCGUGGGAGGAAUGUGUGGUGUAGCGGUGAAAUACAUAGAUAUCACACAGAACACCGAUUGCGAAGGCAUCUCACGAAUCCGCGAUUGACGCUGAUGCACGAAAGCGUGGGUAUCAAACAGGAUUAGAUACCCGGGUAGUC
Molecule: ribosomal RNA, 460 nt
Filed under: uncultured bacterium
Lineage: Bacteria
Description: partial 16S ribosomal RNA
Rfam family: Bacterial small subunit ribosomal RNA
Source: RNAcentral